GAUGAAGAACGUAGUGAAAUGCGAUAAGUAGUGUGAGUUGCAGAAUUCAGUGAAUCAUCGAAUCUUUGAACGCACAUUGCGCCCUUUGGUAUUCCAAAGGGCAUGCCUGUUCGAGCGUCAUUUGUACCCUCAAGCUUUGCUUGGUGUUGGGCGUCUUGUCUCUAGCUUUGCUGGAGACUCGCCUUAAAGUAAUUGGCAGCCGGCCUACUGGUUUCGGAGCGCAGCACAAGUCGCACUCUCUAUCAGCAAAGGUCUAGCAUCCAUUAAGCCUUUUUUUCAACUUUUGACCUCGGAUCAGGUAGGGAUACCCGCUGAACUUAAGCAUAUCAAUAAGCGGAGGA
This 341-nucleotide unclassified non-coding RNA is filed under the name soil metagenome. RNAcentral describes it as "partial contains 5.8S ribosomal RNA, internal transcribed spacer 2, and large subunit ribosomal RNA". The stretch from base 1 to 120 matches the Rfam family "5.8S ribosomal RNA", at positions 35 to 154 of the family's 154-position model. The record is from RNAcentral.